Molecule: ribosomal RNA, 161 nt
Filed under: uncultured Methanobacterium sp.
Lineage: Archaea; Methanobacteriati; Methanobacteriota; Methanobacteria; Methanobacteriales; Methanobacteriaceae
Description: partial 16S ribosomal RNA
Rfam family: Archaeal small subunit ribosomal RNA
Source: RNAcentral
UCCAGGCCCUACGGGGCGCAGCAGGCGCGAAACCUCCGCAAUGCACGAAAGUGCGACGGGGGGACCCCAAGUGCCACUCUUAACGGGGUGGCUUUUAUGAAGUGUAAAAAGCUUUAAGAAUAAGGGCUGGGCAAGACCGGUGCCAGCAGCCGCGGUAAAAU